ACAACACGGAUGUAAAUGGCAGAGCCUGUGUCUGCCUCAUCAGUAUAAGGACUUGGGAAUCUGGACACUAUUAGCCAGAUAUGUGUGUCUGUGGAAGAAGCCACAGACAUUCCCAGCAGAAGGACAAGAAUUGGUAUUACCCGCUAUCUCAUCACUAUUGGAAGAGUCCCUGGAGGAAGUGCAUUAACAGAACAAAGAGCUCUGGAA
Molecule: long non-coding RNA, 207 nt
Organism: Oxyura jamaicensis (ruddy duck)
Lineage: Eukaryota; Metazoa; Chordata; Aves; Anseriformes; Anatidae
Exons: 3
Source: RefSeq, a predicted model, not a curated record